AGGAUCAUUAACGARUUUUGAAGUGGGUUUGABGCBGGCCUUCCCAGGCAUGUGCUCGCCCUACUCUCAUCCACUCACACCUGUGCNCCUAUAAAAUGUUGAAAGAUUCAUCCCCUAGACUUCGUCAGGGGUGCGGUUAGGGGAGACCUUGACCGUUGGGUUGAAUCUUUUGCGUUUUACCUUUCUAUAAACUCUUGUAUGUUGUAGAAUGUCUUAUGGCCUACGGGCUUGUAUAAANUGAAAUACAACUUUCAACAACGGAUCUCUUGGCUCUCGCAUCGAUGAAGAACGCAGCGAAAUGCGAUAAGUAAUGBGAAUUGCAGAAUUCAGKGAAUCAUCGAAUCUUUGAACGCACCUUGCGCUCUUGGGCCAUUCCUAAGAGCAUGCCUGUUUGAGUGUCGUGAACUCCUCAACCCUGGGUGGAUUUUGAAUCCGACCAGUGGCUUGGAUUUGGGGGCUUGCUGGCCGUUUUGAUUCGGUCUGCUCCCCUUGAAUGUAUUAGCUUGGACUUGUUWCAGAGGCUGCAUAGCGUGAUAACUAUCUACGCUUUGGUUGUCUYUGAAACACUUCUGGUCUGGCUYMCAAUCGUCCUCUGGACAUACUUCACUCUUUGAC
RNAcentral lists this ribosomal RNA (615 nucleotides) under Peniophorella praetermissa. RNAcentral's name for it is "eukaryotic LSU rRNA". The stretch from base 247 to 401 matches the Rfam family "5.8S ribosomal RNA". The record is from RNAcentral. Lineage: Eukaryota; Fungi; Basidiomycota; Agaricomycetes; Hymenochaetales.